Molecule: non-coding RNA, 5487 nt
Organism: Dermacentor andersoni
Lineage: Eukaryota; Metazoa; Arthropoda; Arachnida; Ixodida; Ixodidae
Source: RefSeq, a predicted model, not a curated record
UGCCAGGUCGACACGUUUCUUCUGCGGAUUUUCGUCGACUUUUGCUAGGACGUCGAGUUUUUCUUUCAGCAAUAACGCUUUACGCUUUCUAGACAUGGUGAAGCGCACGGGUGAAACGCGGCACCAAAACAGAAGAAACGAUAAGGGCGAAGUGCAAGCUGAACGCUCGAAACACCAAAAUGGCAACGAGAAAUGGCAAGCACAAAGCCAACAAAGCCUACAGCAUCGUCAAUGCAUGCGCCAAUCACUGCUUCUUGGUCACGUGAUUUUACCGUGGCGCUAAAAACCUUCGGUGCGUUUGGUGUGCGAGCUUGCGAAAAUUGCUCCCAGAGGCCGCCACACUGCUGCAGGCGCUGUGCAGAAGCACGGCCGGACUCUAGCCGAGCCAGGCCAAGCCUCGAGCAUACAAAGCGCGCGUCGCCGCGUCUUUAGUCCGCCGUGCCUGUCGUUUCGCUCGAUGUUAAUUUCAGUAGCUCUGCCCACCCACUUCAAAGGACUGGCUCUGAUGUUAUCAUCAUACAGAAGACGUUUCCGGGAUCGUAUUAUCCAAACCGACGUGGAAAUACGAUCGUAUUAGCCGUACAAAAAUGCAUUUACCUCUAUAGGGCAUCGGCCGGGAACGAAAAAAAAACGUAUUAUGCCGAAAAACGUAUUUAGCCGAAUCGUAUCAACGAGAUUUCACUGUAUUUGCUUUAUAACCUUGACCUCCCAAGUGUGGUUGCUGGCAAUAAUGGACACAUAGAACUCAGUGCACCUUUUAUUUUUUUAAAUUUGGCAUGCUGUUUCAUCAGCUUUCUACAGCAUGUGGAAGCACUUCGUCCCGCAUGUCUAGUCAUUCCCAUAGUAAAAAUACUGAAGAGCCAUCAUGUCAAAUUUUCUCGAAGCUAUAAGCACACCACUUACUCCUUUGGCUAUGCCAGAUAUUAUCGGUGUAUUCGUGCAAGCAUGUUGGGAGAACAUGUCUACUGCUACUUGGCUGUACCACACUCUGCUGGCAGGUGUACUAGGGUACCAUUUGUUUGCUGCUGUUUUGCUGUUGUGUUCCAGUCAAAAACAGAUAAAUUUUUGCUGUUGGGUUACAUGGAAUAGUGUAGAUAUAACAGCUCCAAUGGUUGGUACAAACAUGGGCCAUCCUUGGCCCAUCAAGUACUUUGCAGACAUAUUCACACAGUCUCUAUUGAUUUAACGAAUGUCCACAUAAUUUCUGCUCAGCUACAGCUUCUUCAAGCCAUUUGUAAUCAAAUGUAACAGGAAUGUUUUUGUCUUCAUUUAUAUUUCACGAUGCUGUUGCUUCUGCACCAUAACAAUUACCAGCAUGUUCAGUUCUGUACAGGGAGAGUAACAGAGUCACAGUGGAGAGUCACAGUGGAUGUGUUAAGCAAGACCCUGUACAUUUGAUUAGGCACUUUAUGGUGACAAAACAGACUGCAUUCAGAAGUAUUAAAAAUAUCUGAGUGUGUUUUAAAAGGUUAAGUUCAAUAGCUGAAUAAUUUUUUUAAAUAACAUUAUUGAAACCAAUUUAGGGAUGGUCGCCUACAAGCCAUAUCUAUUUUUUCAUUUUUCAUGUGUUCAAACAGGAAAAUUACAGUUGGCCCCGUCAUCAUUAAAAAAAAUGAUACACUAUUAGUACAUGGUAGUAUGGUUUUUAUUAGGGUUGUGGCUUGUACUAGUUGGUUGAUGGUGCAAAAGUAGGGGAACAGCGCAAAAUUGAUGGAACACAAGAUGAAGAAAGGACAAACAGGGCAGACAUGGUUUAUUUGCUUGAUAAACAUGUAUUUAUGUCUUUUGUUGGGAGAUGUGGUACUUCCAUUCUAAAAAAAAGUAAACUACUUGAAUUUGAGGUUAUAAGGUCAGCAUGAGAUUACAAGUGUGAUGCUGGGCACAGCAGUCUCACUGCUGAAGGGCUGAGUGUGGAAGCACUUAUGUUCCAUGAUUUAUGUCCACAUUAAAGAAACCCCGGUGUUCAAGAUUAAUCAGAUGCCCUCCCCACUACAGCCAUAUUUUCCGACAAGAAUUGCUAGAGGGAACUGUAGUGCUGCGUUCAUUUAGCUGCCGUGAGAACAUUGGGCAGUACAUGUAUUUGUCUAGUGUUUGUGCUUGUGGCUUUAAAUAGUCUUCUGGUGUUGUUUAUUUCACUUUCUAAAUGUCCAUGCCAUCAUACUAGUUUACUAGUUUUCUAAACACUGCAAGCUAAUACAUCUUUGUUCAAAUGCAUAACGAUUGUGAAUCGUAUUUAUAAAGCAAUGUUUUGUUGAGUAGGAUAAACUCGUAAAGUCACAAAGCCAUUUGAAGUCACAAGGACAAAGUUCAUGCAAAUGUAUGUACUACCAGUCGUUACUGUCAUUCUCAUUCUGGCUGAACUGCCAUACUUGCAGCUUCCAGUGACAAUAGUGUCAGGGUUCUCUCUAGACAUUUCUGUAAGAAACUUUGUUACUACAGUGCCCCUCAUAACCCCUGUGUUAAUUUGAAAUGAUUAGCUCCAUAAUUUAUUUUUAGAGCUUAAGAGGUUUCAGAAGUUGCUGAGGACUCUGUGUGAAGUAAUGUGCAUAACUAAAAAAAAGAAAAACAAGAUGUAAUCAAAUUGUAUACAAGAUGAGUAGCAUGCACACCGCAGUUGUUAUUCAGAGGUGCACGAGCAUUCAGGAUUCUGUGUUAUGAUGUAGCGUGCACUAUUUGGUUUGUUUAUGAUUUAGGGACCUCGUAAUAUCUUUAAAAUUUGUUUUUCAAUGGUUUUCCCACAUCUGGCCACAGUGGCCGCAUUUCGAUGAAGGUGAAGUGAAAAGACACCGGUGUACUUAGAUUUAGCUGCAUGUUAAAGAAUCCCAGGUGGCCAAAAUUAAUCCGGAGUAACCCACUACGGCGUGCCUCAUAAUCAGAUUGUGGUUUUGGCACAUUAAACCCCAUAAUUUCUUUUUCACACAUUCAUUGGUUACAGUCUGAAUUAUUUUUCACCAUGCUAGCAAUCAUAAGCCAAUCUUGCAGCAUUUUCUCAGUGGAUGUAGUCGAAAAUUACUUUGCUGUACAGAUGAACAGAAGUAGCAGUUAUUGUAUAGUAGGUGAAUCACAGCGCAUGAGACAAGGAAUAACUGAAGAUAUUAGAUACUCAGGGCACAUACUUCAAACUUAUUUAUUGGCAUCAACAUGCAUCCUUAUAGACACAUUUUGUGCACGGAACACUAGACAGUGCUCGUCUAGUGUUCCGUGUUUUCUUUGUCCCUGUGUUCUUUGCGCUGCUUUCCCCAACUAACUGUGAACCAACUCGCCCAAAUCAAAGUCCUGCUUCAUCUCUCUUGGGCUUUAUGCCUAAGAGAGGUGAGGUGCAGAGGGCAAAUGCACUCUGGUUUUGCGGGUGAAGCUUCUGUAUAAUUAUUAGGUUGUCACUGAGUGUAUGGUGUGUGUUCAAAAAGAAACCCAACUUUUCCUAUAGCACUUUGAUUGCUAUCUUUGGCUCUAGCAGGUUACCAGAGACAUUAGAAACUGGAUAUACCAAAAUCGGAGUACGACCGUACAUCCCAAACCCUCGACAUUGUUGUAAAUGCGAGAGGUUUGGUCAUGCUUCCCAGAGCUGCCGAGGGCGGCUAACCUGUGCGAAAUGCGGCAUCAAUGAUCACUCUGCAGAUGACUGUAAGGCUGAGCCCCGUUGUAGCAAUUGUAAUGGUGGCCACCCUGCAUAUUCUUGAUCAUGCGCAGUCUGGAAAAAAAAAAAAAAUAAUUGCGAUAAAGGUAAAAAAAAAAACAUAACUUUCAGAGAAGCAAGACAACGUAUCUCCCACAUUUGCACAGAGCGCAUCUUUCGCUAAAGUGGUACGUCGGGGGACAGUACCACAACGGCACUUGGCGGAUGCCACCACCAAGCGUAGUGAGCGUGCGGCAACGCCACCCGCCCCCAUGGUGGGAGCAGCGAAGGCUGCCCUACCUCUCCCGAAUUUGACCACAGUGGAGGCCUCUGCUAGUGCUGGCACCAGUCAGCCCAGCUCAGAGGUCAAGAAAAACCCACCAACCACAAGGACGGUGGGCUCCAAGGCCUUGUCUUCCGAGACAAGGCUUUCACGGAAAACACACCGCUCGCAAGAGCGCGUGUCCAGUGCCUCUCAAGUGGCCAUGGACACAACACCCAGUCAGAAGGCGCAGUUUACGCCUAAGGAGCAGCGCGAUUUUGUCGACCACUCCAGAAGAGACAGAACUCCCAUUACGGGGCCCCAAAAGGGCACUGUAAGCUAAACAAAGUUCAUUCUCUUUGACACAUAGCACAACGUUUAUUUUAAUAUGGAUACACUGAUUAUUCAGUGGAAUAUCAGAGGCCUGCUAUGCAACCUCGAUGAUGUCCAAGAAAUUCUUAAUGAACUCCAAAAGUGCUGUGUGUCCAAGAGACUCAUUUGAAAUCUAAACAUAAACACUUCCUUCGUCACUAUGUUAUUUUUCGCAAGGAUUGCGAUGAUGCCCUCGCAUCAUCAGGCGGCGUAGCCAUCAUAGCUGACAAAUCUAUAGCCUGUCAACUUAAGGCUCAACCAGACGUACGCGUUCCAACGCGUCCACACCCGCCGCACUGACUCGACGUCGCGCCCGACGGAGGAAGAGGGUGCGCACCCAAACGAUGCACAAGUUGGCGCGCGUCUCGUCGCAGCGGCGCAGUGUUGCUACUUUGCCAUGUUCAAGGCAGCCUAGCCUUCGUUUAACGGCCACGUUAAGCAAUGUGUUACAUAUUGCAAGAAAACACAAUGACUUUAGCUUAACAUUUGUUUUUAUAUUUCAGAAACAUAUUUUACGACUCCUUGUGGGUCAUUCAGCUCAACUGCAACCUAAUAUGAGCAUUGUGAGCCCGGCGAAACCUGCAGCAGCGUCGGCUUAGCAUCACUCAUGUGCUACGCGCCUCGCGUGUUGUACGGUGUGUCAGACCUCGAACUGCACUGCAAGCUUUCGACCUUUGUGCUAACUGUUGAAUCAUGAGACCGUUGUCCAGAAAAAAGAAAGUGUUGCUUGUCAUGAAAAUGAUGACGUUGCUGCUAAUGCUGAAGAGAAGGCGACGUCGGUACCAGCGGCAACCGCGACGAUGGUGGGUUCGGCCCAUGUUUGCUGCACACAAGCAAGAAGGACUUUACUACACAGCAAUGCGCCGUAUGCGUGAAGGCGACCACGCCUUCUUCUCCAAGUUUUACUGUAUGACGCCCCAGAUGUUUGAUACAUUGCUGCCAUUUGUUGUUACAGACCUAACUUGUCAGAACUUCAUAAGAGAACCCUUGGAGCCGGCUGAACAGCUGGCAAUAGCAUUAAGUUACGUGGCAUCAGGCCAAGAUAUCUUUAAUGUCGCACUUGCAUAUCGUGUUGGCAUUGAAACUGCACGAAUGUGCAUACACAUCACAUGUCUAUCCCUCUGGGCACGACUGAAGGAUUACUAUAUGAAGGUAAGCGAACGCUUUCAUAAUGCGUCUGAGAUGUGCUGUUUGUUGUGUGCUUCACCAAAACAGGGGCAGAAUAUAUUUAAGUUUC